RNAcentral lists this ribosomal RNA (469 nucleotides) under uncultured bacterium. RNAcentral describes it as "partial 16S ribosomal RNA". It matches the Rfam family "Bacterial small subunit ribosomal RNA", at positions 28 to 507 of the family's 1533-position model. The record is from RNAcentral.
GACGAACGCUGGCGGCGUGCUUAACACAUGCAAGUCGAACGGUGAAGCGAGUGCUUGCACUCGUGGAUCAGUGGCGAACGGGUGAGUAACACGUGAGUAACCUGCCCAUCACUCUGGGAUAAGCACUGGAAACGGUGUCUAAUACUGGAUACGACCAACCCUUGCAUGGGGUGUUGGUGGAAAGAUUUAUCGGUGAUGGAUGGACUCGCGGCCUAUCAGCUUGUUGGCGGGGUAAUGGCCCACCAAGGCGACGACGGGUAGCCGGCCUGAGAGGGUGACCGGCCACACUGGGACUGAGAAACGGCCCAGACUCCUACGGGAGGCAGCAGUGGGGAAUACUGCACAAUGGGCGAAAGCCUGAUGCAGCGACGCCGCGUGAGGGAUGACGGCCUUCGGGUUGUAAACCUCUUUCAGCAGGGAAGAAGCGAAAGUGACGGUACCUGCAGAAGAAGCACCGGCUAACUACGUG